AUACGGUGGGUCCGAGCGUUAUCCGGAAUCAUUGGGUUUAAAGGGUCCGUAGGCGGGAAUCUAAGUCAGUGGUGAAAUCUUGCAGCUCAACUGUAAAAUUGCCAUUGAUACUGGAUUUCUUGAAUUAGUGUGAAGUGGUUAGAAUGUGUAGUGUAGCGGUGAAAUGCAUAGAUAUUACACAGAAUACCAAUUGCGAAGGCAGAUCACUAACACUAUAUUGACGCUGAGGGACGAAAGCGUGGGGAGCGAACAGGAUUAGAAACCCUAGUAGUCC
This 274-nucleotide ribosomal RNA is filed under the name uncultured bacterium. RNAcentral describes it as "partial 16S ribosomal RNA". It matches the Rfam family "Bacterial small subunit ribosomal RNA", at positions 523 to 796 of the family's 1533-position model. The record is from RNAcentral.